AUUGAACGCUGGCGGCAUGCUUUACACAUGCAAGUCGAACGGUAACAGGUUAAGCUGACGAGUGGCGAACGGGUGAGUAAUGCAUCGGAACGUGCCCGGUCGUGGGGGAUAACACUUCGAAAGAAGUGCUAAUACCGCAUACGAUCUGAGGAUGAAAGCGGGGGACCGUAAGGCCUCGCGCGAUCGGAGCGGCCGAUGGCAGAUUAGGUAGUUGGUGGGGUAAAGGCCUACCAAGCCGACGAUCUGUAGCUGGACUGAGAGGACGACCAGCCACACGGGGACUUAGACACGGCCCAGACGCCUACGGGAGGUAGCAGUGGGGAAUUUUGGACAAUGGGCGCAAUCCUGAUCCAGCAAUGCCGCGUGCAGGAAGAAGGCCUUCGGGUUAUAAACGGCUUUUGUCCGGAGCGAAAAGGCUCUCUCUAAUACAGGGGGCUGAUGACGGUACCGUAAGAAUAAGCACCGGCUAACUACGUGCCAGCCGCCGCGGUAA
This 493-nucleotide ribosomal RNA is filed under the name uncultured bacterium. RNAcentral describes it as "partial 16S ribosomal RNA". It matches the Rfam family "Bacterial small subunit ribosomal RNA", at positions 29 to 523 of the family's 1533-position model. The record is from RNAcentral.